RNAcentral lists this ribosomal RNA (479 nucleotides) under uncultured bacterium. RNAcentral describes it as "partial 16S ribosomal RNA". It matches the Rfam family "Bacterial small subunit ribosomal RNA", at positions 30 to 507 of the family's 1533-position model. The record is from RNAcentral.
UGAACGCUGGCGGCGUGCUUAACACAUGCAAGUCGAACGAAGCACUUUAUUUGAUUUCCUUCGGGACUGAUUAUUUUGUGACUGAGUGGCGGACGGGUGAGUAACGCGUGGGUAACCUGCCUUGUACAGGGGGAUAACAGUUGGAAACGGCUGCUAAUACCGCAUAAGCGCACAGCAUCGCAUGAUGCAGUGUGAAAAACUCCGGUGGUAUAAGAUGGACCCGCGUUGGAUUAGCUAGUUGGUGAGGUAACGGCCCACCAAGGCGACGAUCCAUAGCCGACCUGAGAGGGUGACCGGCCACAUUGGGACUGAGACACGGCCCAAACUCCUACGGGAGGCAGCAGUGGGGAAUAUUGCACAAUGGGCGAAAGCCUGAUGCAGCGACGCCGCGUGAGCGAAGAAGUAUUUCGGUAUGUAAAGCUCUAUCAGCAGGGAAGAUAAUGACGGUACCUGACUAAGAAGCACCGGCUAAAUACGUG